AGCCUAAAAGAGGGAGAUGGUUCUUCGAAGGCUCGAGUCUAGAAGAUUAAAAGGGAACACGGUGCGAUGUACCCAUCAGGGAUCUAUACCGUGGCUGCCCCCGCAACUGUAAGCGCAAAUGUGCCGUCUAUAUCCACUGGAUCUUUUUAAAGAGACCGGGAAGGAAGACGGGGCGAAAAAGCGCAAGCCAGGAUACCUGCCAUAGUCAAACCGAAUGAU
This 219-nucleotide non-coding RNA is filed under the name Terasakiella magnetica. The record is from RNAcentral. Lineage: Bacteria; Pseudomonadati; Pseudomonadota; Alphaproteobacteria; Rhodospirillales; Terasakiellaceae.